RNAcentral lists this ribosomal RNA (253 nucleotides) under uncultured bacterium. RNAcentral's name for it is "partial 16S ribosomal RNA". It matches the Rfam family "Bacterial small subunit ribosomal RNA", at positions 524 to 776 of the family's 1533-position model. The record is from RNAcentral.
UACAGAGGGUGCGAGCGUUGUCCGGAUUCAUUGGGCGUAAAGCGCGCGUAGGCGGCUCGGAAAGUCGGUCGUGAAAUGCCGGGGCUCAACCCCGGGACUGCGUCCGAUACUCCCGAGCUGGAGGCAGGUAGGGGAGAUCGGAAUUCCUGGUGUAGCGGUGAAAUGCGCAGAUAUCAGGAGGAACACCGGUGGCGAAGGCGGAUCUCUGGGCCUUGCCUGACGCUGAGGCGCGAAAGCUAGGGGAGCGAACAGG